CUGAGAUGGGCCCGCGUACCAUUAGCUAGUUGGUGGGGUAAUGGCCUACCAAGGCAACGAUGGUUAGCGGGUCUGAGAGGAUUACCCCCCACACUGGAACUGAGAUACGGUCCAGACUCCUACGGGGCAAUGGGCGAAAGCCUGACGGAGCAACGCCGCGUGAGCGAAGAAGGUCUUCGGAUUGUAAAGCUCUGUGAUAUUGGACGAACGAUUUCCUGUAAAUAAUAGGAAAGAAUGACGGUACAAUAGGAGGAAGCCACGGCUAACUACGUGCCAGCAGCCGCGGUAAUACGUAGGUGGCAAACGUUGUCCGGAAUUACUGGCCGUAAAGGCGAGUAGGUGGUUUGCUAAGUCAGAAGUGAAAACUCCAGGCUCAACUUGGAGACUGCUUUACGAAACUGGUAGACUUGAGUGCAAGAGAGGGAAGUGGAAUUCCUAGUGUAGCGGUGAAAUGCGUAGAUAUUAGGAGGAACACCGGUGGCGAAGGCGGCUUCCUGGACCGAUACUGACGCUGAGACGCGAAAGCGUGGGGGGCAAACAGGAUUAGACCCUGGUAGUCCACGCCGUAAACGAUGAGUGCUAGGUGUCGGGGGUAUCGACCCCCUCGGUGCCACAGCUAACGCAAUAAGCACUCCGCCUGGGGAGUACGGUCGCAAGACUGAAACUCAAAGGAAUUGACGCGGGCAAGCGGUGGAGUAUGUGGUUUAAUUCGACGCAACGCGAAGAACCUUACCAAGGCUUGACAUCCCGUGACAGCUAUAGAAAUAUAGUCUUCUUAGUUUACUAAGACACAGAGACAGGUGGUGCAUGGUUGUCGUCAGCUCGUGUCGUGAGAUGUUGGGUUAAGUCCCGCAACGAGCGCAACCCCUACAGCUAGUUGCCAGCACAUAAAGGUGGGAACUCUAGCAGAACUGCCGUUGACAAAACGGAGGAAGGUGGGGAUGACGUCAAAUCAUCAUGCCCCUUAUGUCUUGGGCUACACACGUACUACAAUGGCCUGAACAGAGGGAAGCAAAACUGCGAAGUUAAGCGAAUCCCUUAAAACAGGUCCCAGUUCGGAUCGUGGGCUGCAACCCGCCCACGUGAAGUUGGAAUCGCUAGUAAUCGCAAGUCAGCAUACUGCGGUGAAUACGUUCCCGGGCCUUGUACACAUCGCCCGUCACACCAUGGGAGUUGGGAGCGCCCGAAGCCGGUGAGCUAACCGCAAGGAGGCAGCCGUCGAAGGCGAGAUCAAUGACUGGGGUGAAGUCGUAACAAGGUAACC
RNAcentral lists this ribosomal RNA (1264 nucleotides) under uncultured bacterium. RNAcentral describes it as "bacterial SSU rRNA". It matches the Rfam family "Bacterial small subunit ribosomal RNA", at positions 220 to 1501 of the family's 1533-position model. The record is from RNAcentral.